GCACGGAAGAGGAAGAAAGAGAGGUCCUAAGAGCAAUAGGAAUGGGAACAUGAAGGAACGCAAUGCCCUAAUUUCGUUCUUCUAUAUCGUUUGGGUAUGGACAUUUAGACUUGUCGUGUUCCUGAUGCCUCCCAUUCCUAUGGUUCUUAGGUGCUCCUUCCUCUUCCUUUCGCUA
RNAcentral lists this microRNA precursor (175 nucleotides) under Sorghum bicolor (sorghum). RNAcentral describes it as "pre miRNA MIR2118". It matches the Rfam family "MIR2118 microRNA precursor family". The record is from Rfam by way of RNAcentral. Lineage: Eukaryota; Viridiplantae; Streptophyta; Magnoliopsida; Poales; Poaceae.